This is a long non-coding RNA of Alligator sinensis (Chinese alligator), 725 nucleotides long. RefSeq lists it as uncharacterized. The record is from RefSeq and is a predicted model, not a curated record. NCBI's taxonomy places the organism in Eukaryota, Metazoa, Chordata, Crocodylia, Alligatoridae. The transcript is spliced from 4 exons.
CUGCUCUGAGGAGACUUGGUUGAAGAGGGGCUGGAGCAGAGUUGGGGCACCAGGAAAAGCUCCUGGGAAUGAGCAGACCAAGACGGGCUUGACUCCAGGGCUGACUGUUGCUUGGGGGUCUGGUGUUGGGGUUUCCUUCGAGGCCAGCUACCAAGAAAAGCCUAGGAGCUGGCAGAAGGUGGGAGACCUGAGGAAGCUCCCUGUUCCCAAGGGAGCAUGAAGGACUCCACGGCCUCUUUGGACCCCAUGUUCUCACCCCUCCUCCUUUGGCCAAAUCGUUGCUGGGCUCGAACUCAUCAGAUGUUGGAUAGCUGGGAGGGAAGGGGUGAUGCCAGAGAGGUGCCAAGUCCAGGAAAACAAGAGAAGCACUCUGUAGAAAGGUGUUGUUCGCUCUGGUGCAGGGAAGAGAGCUGGUGAUCUGGCAGGGAAGAUUGCCCUACCUCCGGAUACCACUCCCUUGUGGAGGUUGCUUCACAUCCGUGACCAAGCCCAGAGGCAGCUGAGUGUCAGUGAUGGGCAAAGUGACCAGCCAGGAAAGCAUGGGUGGGCCAAAUCCUGAAGUUUCUACUGAUCUGGAGUGCAUCCAUCGCUGGGAGACCAGCAUAAAGACUAGGCUGUCCUUGUCUUUCCACUGCUCUGUGGCUGAGAGGCUCACUGUCACUGAAGAGUUUGAAGAGAUCCCCCUACUAUUGAAAAGAGGACCUACAAUCCUAAACCACACACCA